This 913-nucleotide long non-coding RNA is filed under the name Homo sapiens (human). Its description in RNAcentral is "HSALNT0249391". The record is from RNAcentral. Lineage: Eukaryota; Metazoa; Chordata; Mammalia; Primates; Hominidae.
CAGCCAUCAACAGUGAAACAGAAUAUCAACUCUUCUUUUUCUCUCCUGUGCUCAGCUGAUGACUUCCACAUGGCUCACUAGAUUCACAUGGCUCUCCUAUGCUCAGCCCAUGACUUCCACAUGGCUCACUAGAUUCCCAGAAACAUGAUUUCCCUAGAAGUUAAUUCUCACCUGCAGGCAAGAACUUUGCUGGUUGAAGCAGGAAACUAACAGACACAGAGGGACUUUAAUCAUCAGGAGUGGCAAUGGGAGUGACUGAAUCAAGAUCUCAGAACACUCAUUCACUGAGCCUGAAUGUAAAGCUUGGGAAUGUCUUCUGUGUGAGAAUAUUUUCUCCAAUUACUUCUCUACUAUCUCAGACAUAGAAGUAAUCAGUUCCAGUUGCUUCAGAUGCCGGCUCCCUUUCUGCCAUGGAAGAAUACAGUGGUUUAGAAGAGUCUUCUUGGGUCCUGAAACAAGCUCCAAAACUUCCUAAUUCUAUGACGUUGAAUAAGACCUUUAACAUUCUGUGCCUCACUUUCUUCAUUUGUAAAAUGUGUACAUAAACAUUACCUCUCUCAUGUAAAGUUUAGACGAGAGUGUAAAAUGCUUAGAAUGGUACAUGGUUUGUAGAAGGAUUAUGUAAGUAUUUGUCAUUAUUGUUGCUUUUAUUAAUGCAAUUACAAUGAGAAAAAACACACGAACGUUGUGGGGGUGACACAACAUGUAAUAUAAGAAGCUCUUCCCUAGAGGGGGAGACAGAAGGAAUUUGAGUUGAAUACAAAGGAAGCGACAUAGGAAAUGACUCAGGGUUAAUUGGUUAUGGUAUCAGAUGAUUCUUUCUCCCAGUUGUGUGUUUGUGACCAGAGUAAAUCCAAGUUUUUAUCAUUAAAUUUUUCUAACUUAUUGCAUUUGUGGGUAUCACUUCCUGGAG